AUCCAGCUGAUGAGUCCAAAAUAAGACUGAACUCGUGCCCUGGAU
RNAcentral lists this non-coding RNA (45 nucleotides) under Schistosoma mansoni. Lineage: Eukaryota; Metazoa; Platyhelminthes; Trematoda; Strigeidida; Schistosomatidae. The record is from RNAcentral.